This 255-nucleotide ribosomal RNA is filed under the name uncultured bacterium. RNAcentral's name for it is "partial 16S ribosomal RNA". It matches the Rfam family "Bacterial small subunit ribosomal RNA", at positions 524 to 776 of the family's 1533-position model. The record is from RNAcentral.
UACGUAGGGUGCAAGCGUUAAUCGGAAUUACUGGGCGUAAAGCGUGCGCAGGCGGUUUUGUAAGUCUGUCGUGAAAUCCCCGGGCUCAACCUGGGAAUUGCGAUGGAGACUGCAAGGCUAGAAUCUGGCAGAGGGGGGUAGAAUUCCACGUGUGAGCAGUGGAAAUGCGUAGAGAUGUGGAGGAACACCGAUGGCGAAGGCAGCCCCCUGGGUCAAGAUUGACGCUCAUGCACGAAAGCGUGGGGAGCAAACAGG